Small nuclear RNA from Eptesicus fuscus (big brown bat), 107 nucleotides. Lineage: Eukaryota; Metazoa; Chordata; Mammalia; Chiroptera; Vespertilionidae. The record is from RefSeq and is a predicted model, not a curated record.
GUGCUUGUUUUGGCAACACAAAAACUAAAAUUGGAUUGAUAAAGAGAAGAUUAGCAUGGCCCAUGAGCAAAGAUAACACAGAUUCAUGAAACAUUCUAUAUUUUCUU